Cydia pomonella (codling moth) is the source of this 2008-nucleotide RNA transcript. It is a transcript of the gene named tudor domain-containing protein 7-like, with no coding region annotated. The transcript is spliced from 7 exons. The record is from RefSeq and is a predicted model, not a curated record. Lineage: Eukaryota; Metazoa; Arthropoda; Insecta; Lepidoptera; Tortricidae.
UCCCCCGCCGGGCACGUAGCACAAGGUCAAGGUCCCACACAUUGUUACUGCCAAAUGUCCAUCUCCGCCCCUCUCCUCGCCGGGCACGUGGCACAAGGUCUAGGUUACACACAUAGAUGACACGUGUCAGCUGUACGUGCACUUUGAAGGACCAGAGGAGCCUAUGUCUCUAGCCGACGUUGUGGAUGAAAUGACCCUUCGCGCCGAGAAUUCCGGACCUUUAAAGUUAGUGCCGGCGCCUGGCGAGUUGGUAUCGGCGCCGUAUGAGGGCAGCUACUACCGAGCCAGAGUCAUAGCAGUGCAUGACCAAAUAGAGGUGUUCUAUAUAGAUUACGGUAACACGGCGACCGUGUCUAUCUCCGAUCUUCGUCCGCUGGAGCUCCGCUGGCUGGCGCUGCCGAUGCGCGCCGUGGCGUGCCGGCUGGCCGGCGUGUCCGUGUCCGUGUCCGGGGCCGGGGCCGGCGUGUCCGUGUCCGGGGCCGGGGCCGUGGCCGGCGUGUCCGUGUCCGGGGCCGGGGCCGGGGCCGGCGUGUCCGUGUCCGGGGCCGGGGCCGGGGCCGGCGUGUCCGUGUCCGGGGCCAGCGUCAGCGAGACGCUUAGGGGACUCGCGUUGGACAGAACUAUGCAGGCACAAAUUAUUGCUCGAGGCCUUGACGAAAUGACAGUGAAACUUAUCGACGCCGACGGUUUCGACGUCGGCGAGCAACUGGCCGUGUUCGCCGGCAUCACCCUACAGCCUUACGAUGUAGAACAUGACGAGCAACGUUGCGUGCUCGUGCCGGCUUAGCUGAACUUUUGAGCCAAGGCGCUGGAGUUCGGGUUGCCAACCUUGGUGAAUAGUUUUGUGGUACAUUUGCUAUCAAUUUGCGGGACUUGGGUAUACAAUGCGGGACUCCUUCGCCUGGCCUAACUGGGAAAGGUAUACCUAUUGGCCGUCAACGUGUUGAAAGGCAUCAAAAAUACAACCAAGCUUCGAUCACGGCACUACGCGCACUUCAACUCUUGUGGCGCGCGAACCGCGACGCUGCAGGGGACUAUCGAGUGCGACCGCUGGCCGAAGGAUGUCGUGUUUCGGAGGUUCCGGGGCAAAGUGCCGAAACCGACACAAGAUCAGACGAUUCAAUGGGUUUUAUCAUCUAAAUCUUCAUUAAAUUUACUUCUAUGAGUAUUACCAUGCAACUCUUCUUUUUUUAUUUAUGUAUAAUAUUUCUAAUCUACUGAUGUAAAGUCAUACAAUUGUGUAGUAUUGACAUACCAAAAUAAACGAUGAACUGCGGAUUUAUUGAGGCAUAUGCACUUAAAUAAAAUGAACAAUAUUUGUACAUACAUAUAAUAACGUCACAUCAGAUCUUUACGUCUACGAACUUAUUGACGUAUCCGUCUUGGCUAAAAUUUAUGUAUUUGUAUAGAAUCAUAAACUCAUACUUAUUAAACUUAUUAAAACUGUUUAUUAUGAUAAUACCUAGAUACGAAUUACGUUAUUCUAAGUAAAAUGUAAUUAGUGGAUAACUGUCAUUGGCCAUCUGUUAUGUAAUCACUCAUAUGUAAAACUUUUAUUUACGGCUGUUGUUGUCCUAAAUAUCAAUAAAAAAAAAAAUACUCGUAGUGUUUAGUUUUAUGUUUAUAAACUAUAAAUAUUUUUAAUAAAUAUUUUGGGACAAUCUUACACAGAUCGACCUAACAAAGCUUUGAUACAUUUUUUUAGGCGUACAUAGGCUAUGAAGACUGCUUACCAUCAGGCGGGCCGUAUGCUUGUUUGCCACCGACGUAGUAUAAAUAAAAAAAGACAAGAUAGUACUCAGGUUCUGAUGAUGCAGCUGAAAGGCUCCGUGUACCAGUCAACAAAGUUUGGGCUCGUUUGAUUCAUCUCAACAAUAUCUUUGGCACAAGGUACUCCUCAAUCAUCAGACCCUGAGUACUAUCUUAGUAGUACUAUCUUGUUUUAAAGAUCUAGUUGACAGCGUUUGUAUGGAAAAAGCGCAACUAAGAAUUCCACUUAAGAGCUUAC